UAACGAGGCCGGCUGCGCUAAGGAGGCAACGACUCCCAGGUGCCGCGGGGCCGCGGCCGGCCGGGCGCAGCUGCGCCUCGUCGGGAGCCGCGGGCGGGGCCCGCCCCAAAGCCUCUUAAGCUCCUCCGGAGGCUGCCGGGAGCCACGGGGGAGUUUCUGCGGUUCUGUAUGGCAGACGGAGUGAGUUCUGUUUCUUUGUCGGGCCCUGGUGCUGCUGAGGCUGAGAAGCGGCUGCUGUGAGCCCUUUUGCGGCUGAGCGAGGGCUGUAGCAGAGCCUCUCAUCGCUCCGAAGCAGGCAGCUCGUGGAAGCGGGGAGUGUUUGAGAGUCGCUCGUAGGACCGGCACGGGGCCUCCGCCCGAGACCGAGCACGAUCCCGGGGUGGCCUCGGCCACUGCGGAGUGUUUUGCGGGUGCUCUCACCCAUCCCGUUUCCAGCGGUGGGAGCGAGCAGGAAAGGCAGACCGGUCAGGCGGUGGAGUCUCUUUUCGAGGGAGAGAACGGGAACGUAUCGAGCUCCACCUAGGGAUGACUGAAGAACCAGCGGAGCGUUUGUGCGUGAGGCUGAAGAGGCAGCUGGAAAUGGUGCCCACAGCUGUGAGGCUAGUUCUCAUGGUAGGCUCCAGGAGUUUCCUGCAAUGUGUCAAAGGUAAGAUCUUCUGACACAGGUGACGAAGGAGGCAUUGAGGAGCUCCCUAUUGCAGAAGAGCCAUCUGGGGACAGGAAGGCCAGGGGCAGCCUGGAGCGUGCCAGUCGUGAGACCACAGCGUUUGGGAUCUUGUGUGGAAGCUGCAAAGCAAUGAGUAGGAUUGAAACACUGGACUUAGAGGGAGCCAGGUUUGUCCUCUUGAAGGGCCUACUUGGAGGUAACCCUUGCUCAAGCAUAGGAAGGGGUCCUGUGAAUGCUGGAGCAUUACUUUGUCCAUGCUGAGGUGCGCUGCGUCCCAAGGAGGAAGGAAGUGCGCAGGAAUGGUGGGGGACCUGCAGGGCUGACUGAGGAACUUGAAGGGGAGAAGGAAGAGAGAGGCUGAGGAAGGCCAAGUCCCUCUGAGUAUCAGCUUUGGGAGGGAGGUCAAGGCUAAUGGAAGUUUGUCAACAGGAGAGACUGGAGAAAUUGCAGGCCUGUGCUUCACAAGGCAAGGGCCUGAGUAAUGGAGGAUGGAGGACAUGCUGGAUGCCUGUUUUGGUUUCAGUGGUUUCUGCUGAGAGUGCUCCUGGGGUCCUGGAGGAGAGAGUCUCAGAGGAAGGCUGCCUUCCCCUCAGUUGCAGAGGAGCUGGUCAAAAGUGGUUCAGGCAGAAAGGAGGCCAGCAAAUGCCUGAGCUGUAGAGGGCUAUGCCUGUGCCCGCUGAGAGCUGGCAGCGGUGACCGGCAAAUGGCGCUCUCUGUCACUUUUCCCUGCUGUUUCCUGUGGGGAAAGGUACCUGAAGACUGGAGGAUGGCGGAUGCCACCGCAGCCUUCAGAAAGGGUGUGGAGGAUGGCGUGUGCAACUUGGAGGUAGGUUGGCCUCACCUCUGUUCCUGGGGAGGUGACGUAACAGCUUGUUGCAGGUGUCAUUGCCAUGUGACCGGAAGAGAAGGAAUUUGCAAGGAGCAGUCCAGGUGGAUGGACAGAGGGGAAGUCAUGCCGGACCAAAAGGGCGAGGGCUGCAGCGGAGAGCUUUGCCGAGAGGAUUGGCUGGAGCAGGUGUGCGGUUUCCCCAGCAGUGGGAUGAAGGAGGUGAGAGAGGGGGACCCCCAGGCGCGCCCCCUUGGAGGUGGUUUGUGGAGGUCUCCGUGCAGGUUCAGGCCGGAGGCAGGAUCCUGGUGGUGUGAGCGGGGUGCCCCUGUGGAGCAAGGGUGGAAGGUGCGUGGCAGGCCCUGUCCCGGAGGAGUGGAGUUGAUGGAGCGUGGCCCUUUGAUGCUGGAGUGAGGGGUCCUGGUGGGGCUGAAGUCCUGCGUGGAAGAGGGAGAUCCCAGGCGCUGCGAUGCGGAGGAGGAGCGGAGCCAGCGGUGGCUCCUGUGUGGUGAUGGCUGCUUAGUGGUGGUGUUCCUGGUCCUGGGCUGAAAGGAGGAGGAGGAGAAAGCUUUUAGUGCCUUACUUCAAAGCUCAGGCUUGGAUGACCUUGCUGAGGCUGAACAAGAGUACAAAACCUGUGAGUUAAAUGGGUGGAACAAAACUACAGCUGCUGCACCUUACCGGGCCGAGAGUCGUGACCUGAUCUUCCAUCUUUUACACAAAACGAGUCAGAUCUUCAGCUUGCUGCCACGAGUAACUCACACAUUCUCCAAUUCCUCGUAUGGAAAGAAGGUUUUCUUCUAAGGGAUUAUUCCAAUGCGUAAAAUCGGUGAAUUCACCUGUACAGUAAUGAAAUACUUUCAAUAAUUUCAUGCAAAACUUUCUUUAAGCAGUGCCUUGGGUCAGUCUUUCCAUGUGAGAGCUGCAUCAGUAAAAGUUCUCCUUUCGGUCCAUUUCUGACUUAUUUUUUAUAAUUUAGUUUAAAAGUUCAAGUCAUCCAACCAAAGCUGUGACAACAGGAAUAACAGGCUCGUGGUAUAACAGCAGUAGGAUUUAGGCACCUGUGGAGGGAGAAACACUGAAGAUUUCACCGUGGGUUCAGGGUGGGCCAAACAUUAAAAUCCCUUUCUUGGUUUAAGAUCAGAAUGCACCUUCGUGGGAUUCAUUUCUUCCUUACAUCUCAGUAACCAAGUAUGCAUUGAGUGACCUACACCUUUAAGGGGGAAAAUGGUCUCAGUCAAGCGCUGGAUGAAUAUAAAUAGUAAUAAUAAAAGCCUAUCAGUAAGGAAAAGCUGAGCAUUCUUUUUGAAUGCAAACAUAAUAAUUAAUAAUAAUCAUAAUCAUAAUCUGUGGCACAGGACCCAAAGAGACCUUUUCCUCACAGUUUCACACAGCAGUUCUCUCAUCAGCUCUGAAACCAUCUACCUCUGCAACUCAGAAAGCUUUCUUUUUUUCUUUUCCUGAAAGUUCAAGGAUACGUUAUCCAUUUUCUGGGCAAGUUUAGAACUUUGGGUCUCACUUCUGCAUACACGGAAUCUUCUCUAAAGUCACUAAGACAGAACAAAACCCGAGACCCUCUUUGGACUGCAAAUCCAGAAGCAUUCGACCCUGCGGUUCUGCCAAGCAGUGUGAAACACCGUAUUUGUAUCCGCCUCACGCAGCUCCCGCCCGAGUUUUUUCUCCGCGCUGAGCAUCAGUCUGCAGUCCUCGGUAAUUCCGGUAGAGGGCAAUACAAUAAAGCCAUUCAUAGAGGGCUCUCCGAGGCAGCUGCCGUAACUGGCUCCCACAGAACGCCUCAGGCUUUCUUCUUGUUCUGGAUUGGUGUGCUAAUGCCAAAUAUUUACAAUUGAAUCUUUUUUUGAUCCCGGGAACGCUCAUACUGCUUAUUUCUUCUUUGACAGCACAAACGCACGGGCGCGUUCUCAGUGCCUGAAAACAUCUCUAUGCAAAAAUCAAGAUAUAACUCUCUUUGCUACCACUUUUUUUUUUUGUCUCAUCCUCAGCCAUCCGUUUGAAUGUAAACGUUACAGUAUACCUCACAUCCGUAAGGAGUCUUUACAUUCAGGUGUAGUUUUAAAAAGUCUCAUAGGAACCUCUUGCAGUCGAUUAAUGGGCACAUCGGAAGCAAAUCAACUGGAAGUACGGGAUGAGUGUUAUUUAAUUCUCCCUAGGGCUUUGCUAUUCACACACUCCUCUGUGCAGGUAGAUAUUCACGUGCGUAUGAAAGGAAAACUCACCUUCAAGGCGUAACAAAGGGAAACCCGCACUGGGAUCAUUCGUAGGAAAGCAUCAUUUCACAGUACAUAGGUUUAUGGAUUGUGAGAGAUAGUGAUGCAUUUGUAAGGAUGAUCCCUACGAUAAGGUUCUGUGGUUUUAUUUUCUCAAGUCUAGACGUAUUUAGUCAAUAAUGAUUUCUUCAAAAGAUAGCCACAUCUCCAAGACAAGAACAGAACGGCCACGUGGCAGAUUUCACACAACCUCACAACAGUACCAUGAACUAUACGGGAGUUUCAUAAUUCAUGAAGGAACAAUAUUCCCUCCCGGGCACUAAAACUAGUCCAGAUAACACCAAGAACAGCUGAAAAGCCGGACAGUGUGAUUUCCCCUCUCCUCAAGUAUAGAGAGACACAAGUAUGAAACAGCUGGAAAACAUAUUCAAAGGAUGACAGGCACCACGUCACAGCAGAAGUGCCAGGUAAGCUCAGCGCAAAACAGUCCCUUUACUUCUUUCAUUCUUUCUUUCAUUUGUGACCAGAUUCAUGAGUGGAUGGAAAUGCUUGACAAAGUGAUAAUGAAUCUCUCUGAACGUUUACAUGGUUCCCAUCAGUGCAAAGACUCACCCAGUGCUAAAAGUAAUUCACUACAGUGUGUAAAAAAAAUAAACAAAUCAUUCUCCUUUUCA
Molecule: long non-coding RNA, 4395 nt
Filed under: Gallus gallus (chicken)
Lineage: Eukaryota; Metazoa; Chordata; Aves; Galliformes; Phasianidae
Description: lncRNA (ENSGALG00010023493.1)
Source: RNAcentral